GAACAAGCACAAUGAAAUCUUAAGGUAUCUUGGAGGGCCCCUGUCUAUUGCAGUCUAUCUCCCUUUUUAUAGUAGAGAGUCAUUACUUUAUCUAUAACAACAUAAUAAAAUAAUACAUAUAGUGGAGAACCCAUGAUGGUUUGUCUCUCCCUUGAUUCUCGCCAAGAUUCUCUCCAUUGGUGCGGUUGUAACGGCUCUUGUCUGCGAGCUUGACACUGACUCGAGCUUGGUGCUAGAUCGAAUCCCCAAUCUUAGUUCGAGCUCGGUUCUGCCUUGGAGCAUCGAUAUUCGGGGCCUGUGUCGAUCGGCGUUACCCCGUAGUCCGAUUCGGACACGGGCUCGAUAAUGAUAUCGAGUUUUGCCGUUGAUUGGUCUUAUAGCUCGAAGCUCGACAUCUCUACUUCAGAAUUUGUCCGAGCUCGCCAUGUGGAUACCCUUCGAUUGAAACGUCAUUGUCUCGACCGGUUUUUAUGACUGAGAAUUGGUUUUGACCAUACACAACAAUGUUAAUCAAGCAUUACUUAUCUUCUGGAAAAAAUAAUUUAGCUUUUAAAGGGUAUAAAAAAAAAUAAUUUUUGUCCUUUUAUAAUAAUAUAAAUAUUCAUAAAUAGGUAUAGAUAGAGAUUCGAUGAAUCUAACAAGAUUUUGAUUUUCCAAAAAUAUACUACUAAUUAUCUAAAUAAGAUAAUUAUAUAAGAUAAAGAGACAAUUAUAAAAGAUAAAGAUAAUGUUGAGGUUCAGGGAAACAAAUCACGAAAUUUUAAUACAUGCCUUCUCCAAAACCAAUUGUUAUUUCAUUCACUCGGUUAAAUUUGUAUUCUAUCACAACUUUGUAUUUUUAACGUGUAAUGUGUCCAAUUAUGUCCUUUUCUUAUUUGCUUGUAAUAUAAAUAAUUAAGGGAAUAAAAGUCGUUCAAUAUUUUAAGAAUAUUUUGAUCGUUCAAUAUUUAUUGUUAAACAUUCGUAUUUUUAUAAUAAUAUAGAUAGAUAUAGAUAAAUAUAGAUAGAUAUAUAGAUAUAGAUAUAGAUAGAUUAGUACUAGUACUAGGCUAAGAAUUUGUUCAGAAAUUUUCAAUUUAUUCCUAUAAAAAAAGAAAUUAAAUAUUUUCAGGUGUUAUUGAAAAAACGAAAACCAAAAAAAGAUAAGAGAGAAACAAUGUUUUCUAUAGUACACAGACAAAUAGAGAGAGAUGUUUUUCUUUCAAAAUAAAAAAAAUACAGUAAUUUAGAAAUAACAGAGGUGGGUCCCAAAAAAAUUAAGUUUUUUAAAACUAAAUAAAUAUAAUCUGGAAAAAGUAAGAGGAUAUGGGGUCCACAUAAAUCCAGCUGUCAAAGGGAAAUGUCCUAUUAUUAGCUAUUUGUAUAACUGGUUGGUUUAGCUACUGCAUUAAGUCCACGGAAAUUAGUUAUGCUUCAUCUCCUGGAAAAAUAAGAGAAAGAAAGAGUGAAAUUUACUUUGCAAUAUGUGAUCUUGAAUCAAUACAAAGUCUUUUGACUCUCAAGUUUUUUUCUUUUAUAAUGGUACGUACUUUCUUUACUUCUUAACACAUAUUAGUCAAACAUACAAAACCAUUCCCAAAUUAUUUAGUACAACUAAAACCUAUUGGAAAUAGUUAAUAAGCAAAAGGGUUAAAGUAUCCCUAACGUAUUGAAAAUGACUCAUAAAUACCUCUGCUUCGAUUUGCUUCACCUUCACCUUAAUUAAUAUUCACGCCUUCUAGGAUAUCCAUAGUUUCAGAUGAUGACAGUAUGGUCUUCAUCUUGUCAAGGUUAUGACCGGACUCAAGCGGCUCGGGUUAUAAUAAGAAAAUGUGUGGGUAAAAUCUAAUUGUAAAUAAUACACGUGGCAAGUUUAGAAAAAGUCAUGUGGAUAUUUUAAAGAUCCAAAUUUAUCCAUGCUUGGUCUGUUAGUUUCAUGAGUAUAUUUAAAUUCAAAAAAUAUUUUAGGAGUAUAUUUAGACCAAAAGGUUAACGAAUGGUAUUUAUAAGCCAUUUUCAAUACGUUAUGGACAUUUUUGACCCUUUUUCAUGGUUAAUAUUGGCGGGCACAUUAUUCACAAUUUUUAUGGAGAAACAUUCAAAGAGGGGGAAAAAUUGAAAUAUGUCGUCUUUGUGUUAUUAAACAUGAUCUCAAUUAGUGUCAAUUAAAAUAACCAAAAAAUAAUUCCUCAUAGGCGAUAUUGAAGAAAGAAAAAGUAAGGAAACUUACGAUGUUUAGAGGCAGUAACAUCAAUUAUUCCCAGAAGGUAGGUAACUAGCAAUCCAAAACCUAUACGUAUAUAGCCAAAGACUUAAACAUUAAUUAUGUUAGAUAUAAUAAAGAAGAAAGCUAAAUUAGGCAGUUAAUUACUUUCAACUAGAAUACCAAUCCAUACUAGCUAGACAGAAAAACAUACAUUUAUCAUAUGUUCAGAACAACAGAUAAGAUACAUUUAUCACAUUUGAGCGUUUGAGCUAAGGUGGAAUUAUUUGUUCUAUCUUGUGAGAUAUCAUAUACCUAAGUAGGAAUUAAUUCCAAAAAGAAAUAUACCUAAGUAGGAUAGCAGAAUAAGCCAAUUAAGCAGGAUAAAUUGAAUCAUAUACCAUCUAAUUUAUGUUCGUAACCAAAUAUAACGAUUUAAAGACUAAAACAAAUAUUGUGAUUUAAACCUAAUGUGAUAUUGUAGUAUACCAAUAUAUACACACUUCUCUGAGUAAACAACGAGUUUCAUUGUCUAGAAGAAAAAAGAAAAGAAAAGAGGAAGAGAAAUGUAAAACCUGUUGUCCAAAGGAUUGGCCUAGUAAUUAAUUAAGAAGUAUGAGGUCUUGUGUUCAAAUUCUAGUUAAGGCAAAAAUACAAAGUAAUUUAUUCCCGUCUGUUCAAGUCUUAGUGAACAGAGUUAUCCGAUACUUGUAUUGGUGAAAGGUCUGACACCCCCAUAAAAUUAGAGGCCAACACAAGUUGGCUUGAAUAACAUAGCUAUAGAAUAAAAUUAUAAAACCUGCUCAUGGACAAGAAAAAUAGAUAAAUAAAAUGGUACGUAAUAUAUAGGAAGUGAUAUUGGCACGGCUCAAUCUGAGAUCGUUUUUUACGAAAACAAAACGUAAACACGUCUUCGGAUUGAACCUCACCAACAUCGCUUCCUUUAAUUUACUUGACAUAAUUGACAUGGUGAAGUGUUUCUUUUCUUUGAGUCAAACUUAGGCCUUUUUUAUUUGGCUGCUGUUUGACCACAAAAAAAGUGGAUAUGUGAAAAGCCAAUAUCAAAAGAAAGAAUAUACAUUAGCUCCAUAUUGGGUUCGAAUACUCUGAUAAAGAAAUGGAUUUUAGGUUUCACUCCAGAUGUGAGAAUUACCCGAGACUAUAUAACGAGAUCAAAGGACCAACACCCCAGCAUGCCCUAGCAAUUGGAGCAUGAAAAAUAUAAUAUAGUGAGAGGGGGAGGGGGCAACAUCGGGGUUGAAACAAGAAUUAGGUAGACUUGACUUUGACACCAUGAUAAAAAAAGUAAACUUUGAGCCUAACUCAAUCGCAAAGAUGAUUGAACAAAGGAUCUAACACCGAUCGAUGUGGGAUAUCGAACAGAAUCAGAAGAUGGAGGAGAACAUGACCUAUAAUAAGGUAAAAGAUUGCCCCAUGGCCUAGUUCAAGUGGCAAAAGGUGGUGGAUUUGUGUCUUAGGUCACAGGUUCAAGCCUCACACCAUGCAAAGCAAAGCCUAGUAUUUAAGUAGAGAAGGGUAGAGGGACGGGCCCAUUAUCCAACGAGUUUCGAAGGCUGCGGUUGGUCCAAAGGAUUGGCCCAGACAGAUUUCUCGGUCAUCAAAAAAACAAGAUGAGCUAUAUGAAUCAGUAUAUAGAGAUUAACUUAUCUAAAUUCUAUCAAAAGACAUGAGAAAGCUCAAAACCUAAUAUAUAGCUCCAGGGUUC
This 3908-nucleotide long non-coding RNA is filed under the name Nicotiana tabacum (common tobacco). The record is from RNAcentral. Lineage: Eukaryota; Viridiplantae; Streptophyta; Magnoliopsida; Solanales; Solanaceae.